RNAcentral lists this long non-coding RNA (936 nucleotides) under Nicotiana benthamiana. Its description in RNAcentral is "long non-coding RNA (NBEN_LNC022466)". The record is from RNAcentral. Lineage: Eukaryota; Viridiplantae; Streptophyta; Magnoliopsida; Solanales; Solanaceae.
GAGGCACGUUCGUUAAAGGCAAAACCCUAGCCCCCGAAUCCCUCAGUAUAUAAAGAAGCACUACUGUCUUUAAAAGAUCAACCCUAGCACCACUCAGCUAUGACUGAGCCGCCACCUUAUCACUCUCCGUUCAUUACAUAUAGGAUUCCAUCUAUCCCUAUUUGAAUUGAAUUGACUAUACUGCACUUGCUUGAAUCUUUCAUCUUUUGAAUGUUCCUAAAUGAUGAUGACUUGAAGUAAAGCUAUGGAUUUACAUCCAAAUGAAGCUUUUUUGUCAUAGUUACUCUGAUAGGAGCUAUUCCUUCAGUUACUGGCUGUUAGCUCUUGAUUAUUGUCUCCACUUCUCUUUGCACUAAUUCUUUUGUUAGCUACGGUAUAUUCUAAAUCUGUAUGCAUCAAUAAAUAAAAAAGGGGCAACUUUGCCGAGGUGAUCUAUUGUGUAGAUACUCCUCUUUUUCCCUGUUGCCAAUACUAAUUGGACAAGCUUAGAACAGCUUAGGUUGAUCCCUAUUUUUAGGUUUGCAUCAGCUGAUUCUAGCAUGCCUACAUCUAUAAACUAAAUUGUCAUAUUUAUAUGAAUAAAGAUUUCAUGUUUUGUGUUGCAAAAUAGGGCAACUUUGCCGAGGUGAUCUGAUUUUUGUUGAUUCCCUCUUUUCCCUGUUGCCAAUAAUUCAAUUAGACAAGCUGUGAUUUUGUUUUGGUUGAUGAAUACUUGUGGUAUAACACCAGCCACUUCAAGCUUGGCGAUAUUGUUAUGAAUUUGGUUUUUAUUUUAUUCUUGUUUUGUUUUAAAGCUCUUUAGGUGUAUGCAUUUGAUGAUUUGCUACGUGAUGAUUUUUUUUUUGAAUAAACAGAUUUUCUAUUUCAUUCCAUCAAAAAAACUGUUCAAAUACAGCCAUAGAUGCUGACCAUCUAUUCUCUAUUGCUAAUCAGUCC